RNAcentral lists this ribosomal RNA (87 nucleotides) under Triticum aestivum (bread wheat). RNAcentral describes it as "partial small subunit ribosomal RNA". Lineage: Eukaryota; Viridiplantae; Streptophyta; Magnoliopsida; Poales; Poaceae. The record is from RNAcentral.
AUUGCCCACAUAUCAGAUAUUAAACUGAUAAGAACAGAUACUACACUUGAUCUUAGCCAAAAGGCCGAGAAAGGUAUGAGUUGUUAG